This 451-nucleotide ribosomal RNA is filed under the name Caldisericales bacterium. RNAcentral describes it as "bacterial SSU rRNA". It matches the Rfam family "Bacterial small subunit ribosomal RNA", at positions 1 to 454 of the family's 1533-position model. Lineage: Bacteria; Pseudomonadati; Caldisericota; Caldisericia; Caldisericales. The record is from RNAcentral.
UCGAAGAGUUUGAUCCUGGCUCAGGAUGAACGCUGGCGGUGUGCCUUAUACAUGCAUGUCGAACGAGGCGUAGCAAUACGUCUAGUGGCAAAUGGGUGAGUAAUAAAUAGGUAACCAACCCUUAAGACGGGGAUACCCCAUCGAAAGAUGGAAUAAUACCCGAUAAUGUCCCUUCCGGUGCGCUGGAGGGGAAGAAAGAUGGCGCAAGCUAUCACUUUUGGACGGGCUUAUUUCCUAUCAGCUAGUUGGUGAGGUAACGGCUUACCAAGGCUACGACGGGUAGCUGGUCUGAGAGGACGGUCAGCCACAUUGGGACUGCGACACGGCCCAGACUCCUACGGGAGGCAGCAGUCGGGAAUAUUGCGCAAUGGAGGAAACUCUGACGCAGUGACGCCGCGUGCAGGAAGAAGGUUUUCGGAUUGUAAACUGCUUUAGACAGGGAAGAGAAAGG